GUCCACGCCGUAACGAUGGAUACUAGCUGUUGGGAGCAAUCUCAGUGGCUAAGCGAAGUGAUAAGUAUCCCACCUGGGAGUACGUUCGCAAGAAUGAAACUCAAAGGAAUAGACGGGCCCGCACAAGCGGUGGAGCAUGUGGUUUAAUUCGAUGAUACGCGAGGAACCUUACCAAGGCUUAAAUGUAGAUUGACAGGACUGGAAACAGUUUUCUUCGGACAAUUUACAAGGUGCUGCAUGGUUGUCGU
RNAcentral lists this ribosomal RNA (248 nucleotides) under uncultured bacterium. RNAcentral describes it as "partial 16S ribosomal RNA". It matches the Rfam family "Bacterial small subunit ribosomal RNA", at positions 793 to 1055 of the family's 1533-position model. The record is from RNAcentral.